AGCUCCAAUAGCGUAUAUUAAAGUUGUUGCAGUUAAAAAGCUCGUAGUUGAACCUUGGGCUUGGUUGGCCGGUCCGCCUUUUUGGCGAGUACUGGACCCAACCGAGCCUUUCCUUCUGGCUAACCUUUCGCCCUUGUGGUGUUUGGCGAACCAGGACUUUUACUUUGAAAAAAUUAGAGUGUUCAAAGCAGGCCUUUGCUCGAAUAUAUUAGCAUGGAAUAAUAGAAUAGGACGUUAUGGUUCUAUUUUGUUGGUUUCUAGGACCAUCGUAAUGAUUAAUAGGGACGGUCGGGGGCAUCAGUAUUCAGUUGUCAGAGGUGAAAUUCUUGGAUUUACUGAAGACUAACUACUGCGAAAGCAUUUGCCAAGGACGUUUUCA
RNAcentral lists this ribosomal RNA (379 nucleotides) under uncultured eukaryote. Its description in RNAcentral is "SSU rRNA". It matches the Rfam family "Eukaryotic small subunit ribosomal RNA", at positions 587 to 972 of the family's 1831-position model. The record is from RNAcentral.